This 253-nucleotide ribosomal RNA is filed under the name uncultured bacterium. RNAcentral's name for it is "partial 16S ribosomal RNA". It matches the Rfam family "Bacterial small subunit ribosomal RNA", at positions 524 to 776 of the family's 1533-position model. The record is from RNAcentral.
UACGUAGGGGGCAAGCGUUGUCCGGAAUCAUUGGGCGUAAAGCGCGUGUAGGCGGCUCGAUAAGUCUGCUGUGAAAGUCCAGGGCUCAACCCUGGGAUGCCGGUGGAUACUGUCGAGCUCGAGUCCGGAAGAGGCGAGUGGAAUUCCUGGUGUAGCGGUGAAAUGCGCAGAUAUCAGGAGGAACACCAAUGGCGAAGGCAGGUCGCUGGGACGUGACUGACACUGAGACGCGAAAGCGUGGGGAGCAAACAGG